UAAGGUCCCCAAAUAUAUGUUAAGUGGAAAAGGAUGUGGGGUUGCUUAGACAACCAGGAUGUUGGCUUAGAAGCAGCCACCAUUGAAAGAGUGCGUAAUAGCUCACUGGUCGAGUGACCCCGCGCCGAAAAUGUACCGGGGCUAAACAUAUUACCGAAACUGUGGAUGAACCUCUUUAGAGGUUCGUGGUAGGAGAGCGUUCUAAGGGCGGUGAAGUCAGACCGGAAGGACUGGUGGAGCGCUUAGAAGUGAGAAUGCCGGUAUGAGUAGCGAAAGAAGGGUGAGAAUCCCUUCCACCGAAUAUCUAAGGUUUCCUGAGGAAGGCUCGUCCGCUCAGGGUUAGUCGGGACCUAAGCCGAGGCCGAUAGGCGUAGGCGAUGGACAACAGGUAGAGAUUCCUGUACCAGUGCUAAUUGUUUAACCGAUGGGGUGACACAGAAGGAUAGGGAAUCGCACGAAUGGAAAUGUGCGUCCAAGCAGUGAGUGUGAGAA
This 492-nucleotide ribosomal RNA is filed under the name Listeria monocytogenes. RNAcentral describes it as "partial 23S ribosomal RNA". It matches the Rfam family "Bacterial large subunit ribosomal RNA", at positions 1040 to 1531 of the family's 2925-position model. Lineage: Bacteria; Bacillati; Bacillota; Bacilli; Caryophanales; Listeriaceae. The record is from RNAcentral.